AAGAAAGCAUGCAAGAGCUGCUAACUCAUUGCCACCGUACUUAAACAUACGGCUUUCUUA
This 60-nucleotide transfer RNA is filed under the name Bramus fuscocapillus (southern mole vole). Its description in RNAcentral is "tRNA-Ser". Lineage: Eukaryota; Metazoa; Chordata; Mammalia; Rodentia; Cricetidae. The record is from RNAcentral.